This 253-nucleotide ribosomal RNA is filed under the name uncultured bacterium. RNAcentral describes it as "partial 16S ribosomal RNA". It matches the Rfam family "Bacterial small subunit ribosomal RNA", at positions 524 to 776 of the family's 1533-position model. The record is from RNAcentral.
UACAGAGGGGGCAAGCGUUAUUCGGAAUUAUUGGGCGUAAAGGGCGCGUAGGCGGCUUUUCAAGUGACGGGUGAAAUCCCUCGGCUUAACCGAGGAACUGCCUGUCAGACUGGAAGGCUUGAGACCGGGAGAGGUGAGUGGAAUUCCCAGUGUAGCGGUGAAAUGCGUAGAUAUUGGGAGGAACCCCAGUGGCGAAGGCGGCUCACUGGACCGGAACUGACGCUGAGGCGCGAAAGCGUGGGGAGCAAACAGG